CUCCUCUGUCCCUCUCAUUCUUCACUCACCCACUUCCUCCUCCUCGGCCCGCACGCGCCCAUUAAGCUGUCUACGUCACUACAGCCUGUAAUUGGAGGUGCAGCAGCCAGAGGGCAGCCAUCUUGGAUAUCUCAUCUUCACCUGAGAAGAUACAUUAUCCUUUCUGCAUUCCUUUAACUGAAGCAUUUCACUUGCCCUGGCAGACCCAAAUCCAGGGUCCGAUCCCAGACUGGACUUGAUGGCAGUUAUGUGGAGGGGCCCCCAUGGGGCAGGACGCGUGCAAAACCCCGCAUCUAUAAUGCCUGGAAAAAAUAAGGGUGGAAAACCCCUCAAAUUACAGCGGGGCAGCUUGCAGCCGAAGAGCAGCGUCUUUUUUCUUCUAACCAAAAUGAUACGAGCUUGUUGAGCUGCACAUCUGUUUCUGAAU
Non-coding RNA from Paralichthys olivaceus (Japanese flounder), 427 nucleotides. The record is from RefSeq and is a predicted model, not a curated record. Lineage: Eukaryota; Metazoa; Chordata; Actinopteri; Pleuronectiformes; Paralichthyidae.